Molecule: transfer RNA, 73 nt
Filed under: Bos taurus (domestic cattle)
Lineage: Eukaryota; Metazoa; Chordata; Mammalia; Artiodactyla; Bovidae
Also listed under: 4 other names
Rfam family: tRNA
About the family: Transfer RNA (tRNA) molecules are approximately 80 nucleotides in length. Their secondary structure includes four short double-helical elements and three loops (D, anti-codon, and T loops).
Source: Rfam by way of RNAcentral
UCCCUGGUGGUCCAGCGGCUAAGAUUCUGCGCUCCGAGUGCAGGGGGGCUGGGUUCAAUUCCUGGUCAGGGAA